UCGAGGAGAUAGUCAACGAAGAACCUGUAGCCGGGGUCUCCGGGAACGCGGCCCGCAGAAGUGUGCGGCUGUUCGAGGUAUCCUUCCUCUGA
RNAcentral lists this transfer RNA (92 nucleotides) under bacterium ADurb.Bin236. RNAcentral's name for it is "tRNA-Pro". The record is from RNAcentral.